GUGGAUGCAAGAGCUGCAAAAGAAAACAAAACCAGAGUCAGAUUGGUUUGGUAUAGGCACAUUUCAAGCAAAAGAGAGCGCAUAUUCACCACGUGGAGACUUUGAAUCCAACUCAUCUGAAGAUGCUCACUCUAGAUAUUUUGUGCUCCCAAGAGCAUUUGCUCUUGAACCUCCAAGUUGCCACACCACUUCUGACACUGACACUGAGAAACACUCGAUUGAAAAU
RNAcentral lists this unclassified non-coding RNA (226 nucleotides) under Hevea brasiliensis (rubber tree). Lineage: Eukaryota; Viridiplantae; Streptophyta; Magnoliopsida; Malpighiales; Euphorbiaceae. The record is from RNAcentral.